UCCACCGCUAUACCACCCUAAACGUGCUGAUCUCGUCUGAUCUCGGAAGCUAAGCAGGGUCAGGCCCAGUCAGAACUUGGAUGGAAGAGGGAAUGGAAGGUGCUUGCUGGAA
Molecule: ribosomal RNA, 112 nt
Filed under: Prolemur simus (greater bamboo lemur)
Lineage: Eukaryota; Metazoa; Chordata; Mammalia; Primates; Lemuridae
Source: RNAcentral